Molecule: ribosomal RNA, 314 nt
Filed under: uncultured bacterium
Lineage: Bacteria
Description: bacterial SSU rRNA
Rfam family: Bacterial small subunit ribosomal RNA
Source: RNAcentral
GACGAACGCUGGCGGCGUGCUUAACACAUGCAAGUCGAACGCUGGAGCUUGGGUGCUUGCAUCUGGGUGGAUGAGUGGCGAACGGGUGAGUAAUACGUGAGUAACCUGCCCUUGACUCUGGGAUAAGCCUGGGAAACUGGGUCUAAUACUGGAUACUACAUUCUCUCGCAUGGGGGUGUGUGGAAAGGGUUUUACUGGUUUUGGAUGGGCUCACGGCCUAUCAGCUUGUUGGUGGGGUAAUGGCCUACCAAGGCGACGACGGGUAGCCGGCCUGAGAGGGUGACCGGCCACACUGGGACUGAGACACGGCCCAG